UUUAUGUAAUACUUGAUUCAGUGCUUUUAAAUGCAUGAAUUUGGCAUGUUGUGGAUUUAUGAUUUUACUCCAGAGGGAAAACACAGUGGAUGUUUUAAAAAAAAUGGUUUUCUCAUGUUAUCUAAAAAUCAGAAAGUUUAGAUAUGCUCCUUUUGCUUUUUUUAGUUGGAGCCAUCACUGAAUAUGGUUUCUUAAAAGAAACGAAAAUCCACUUUCUGAUAGAAUAAUUGAUAUUGCACAUAAUUUUUCAAUUGUUGCAGCCUGCUGUUUGUCAGUUUUAAGAAUUCCUUUUAACAUUCAUGCUUCAUGAACUUGCUUUUCUGUUGUCCUUUGGCCCAUUCCGGGGAGGAAGCUGUAACAUUAAUUUGUCUAUGACGAAGGUCUUAAUGAUAUAAGUUUUUAAAAAAUGUGUUUUCUUCUAAUGAUAUUAGUAUUUUGCAGACAAAGUGUACAUGGAAGCCUUGUUAUGAAAAUGAAAUAAAUGCCAUUUCAAGAAGAAAGUAUCUUUGCGGAUUAAUGAACACUUGUAUAAUGCCCGAAACCUCAAAAGGGUGGUUCGUUGCACACCGGAGGUUCCAUGAGUUUCGCAGGCCACCAACGAAGAUUGCGAAAGUUAAACGGGGGAGAGGCUGUGCCUCUUUUUGAGGUCUUCGAGGAGACACAUUAGAAGGAGGAGGACGGUACAAGUGAAGGUUGGUUGAGCCACGUGCUAAGGAGACAUAUGAAGGAUUUCAAAAAGGUUUGGAAGAUUGACGUCAGACCCAGCCUGCUUCAGAGGAUGGUACCGCAUUCCGACCAUCGCCUGCGGAUAUGACUUCAAUGUGGACACAGGUGGCAGGUGGUCCCAGCAAAGGUAGAGUCUACGGGCUUGGAGUUCUGCGUUCCUCAUCUAGUCCUUCGCCGUUGUUGUCUAAUGCUUCUACUUCGCAAAAUACGGAAGAAAUGGAAGCGAUGCAAAGCCGAAUUGCAGAGCUGAAGCAAAAGUGUGAAACUUCCGAUGACAAUUAGAUUGUAGUUGCUGGUUAUUGGCUUUUAUUGUGACUUUUAGACUUUUUAGACUUUAAGUUUCAUGUAGUUGUUGGUUUGGGAUGUUUAAACUAUUUCGAACGUGAUGUUUGAUUGGAUGUUUCAAAUGUUUAGACUACUUCUUCA
This is a long non-coding RNA of Lycium ferocissimum, 1152 nucleotides long. RefSeq lists it as uncharacterized. The record is from RefSeq and is a predicted model, not a curated record. The transcript is spliced from 3 exons. NCBI's taxonomy places the organism in Eukaryota, Viridiplantae, Streptophyta, Magnoliopsida, Solanales, Solanaceae.